This is a non-coding RNA of Nematostella vectensis (starlet sea anemone), 77 nucleotides long. The record is from Rfam. NCBI's taxonomy places the organism in Eukaryota, Metazoa, Cnidaria, Anthozoa, Actiniaria, Edwardsiidae.
GUAGACUUGCUUCAGAAUAUUGGUACUGGGCAAAAGGUCACGUUUUGCACAUCACCAAUGUUCUGAGGCACUUCUGC